UCAUGCCUAUUUGGAGUAGCCGCGAUGAAUAUACUCAUGUUGAGGAGAAGUACCAGCCACAAAAAUCAAUGUAAUUGAUUGAUGAAUUGGAUGCUUCUCUGGAAAUAAUUGAUCAAGGGCAAGCCAAGGAUGUGGAUAGUCCUUACUACUUUAAUAAUACUCCAUUUGAAAGUCCAAGGAAAUACUUCAAUUUAAUUCAAAUUUCAGACUCAUUUUGUUAUCUUUAGAUUAAUGCAACAUAAAUAUCUACUUAAUGCAUAAUAUAUAUAAUUAGGGGUGAACUUGUGAGUGGGCACAUGAGUGGAACUCAAACAAACAAUCAUAUGUAGACAAGAGAUGUGUUUGUCUUUUAUUCCCAUGUUUGAACUAGUAUAGUUCGGGUUCUUACAUGAUAGUGCAUGUCACUUUAUUUUUUCACCGCUACAACGACCAAACCAUGGACUAAGAAAACGGUGUAUCAUAUAUCUACUACUAGAGUUCUUCUAUUCUCAGUUAGUACCGAAGAUGCCAACUGGAGCAAUGGUGCAAUAUGGAGGGAUAUAGACAUUGCACAUUGCAGGUAGCGUCUCUAGCGCUAGGUUCCUUAUUUCCUCAAACUGGGGCAGUUGUUGAGGCUGGACAGAGCCCUGGGCCUGUGGGUUUUGCUGAGAUGGCUGGAAGGAGCCCUGGCCUGAUGGAUAUUGUUGUUGAGACUGUUGGAAGCAGACCUGGCUCAACGGUUGUUGUUGUUGUUGUUGUUGUUGUUGUUGUUGUUGUUGUUGUUGAUGCAGAAUAAUAGCAUGAACAACAUUGUGGAUGGCUUGGCACCGCGACUGCUCGGGGAUCUGCCAUAGCUGCUGACAACACAAUUGUUGCACCAGCUGGUAAGUACUUUGUUGCAAAACUUGUGAGCUUCCAUGCGCUAUGCUGUGUUGUUGCAAUACAACAUCCCUGCAUGGAAUCAGUUGUUGUUGCAAAAUUUGUUGAAGGAUCUGUUGUUGUUGUUGUUGUUGCUGCUGCUGCUGCUGCUGCUGCUGCGAAAUUGGUUGUUGUGGUUGCGAAUACUGUGGUUGCGGUUGUGGAUAUGAUUGUUGUGGUCGAAAUGGUUGCGGCUGCGGAUAUGGUAGUUGCGGCUGCGGAUAUGGUAGUUGCGGCUGCGGAAAUGGUUGCAGCUGCAUAUAUGGUUGUUGUGAUGGAAAUGGUUGCAGCUGCGGAUAUGGCUGUUGUGGUGGAAAUGGUUGUUGCUGCCCUGGAAAUUGUUGUUGUUGUACCAAUGGAACUUGCUUUUGUGGUUGUUGCUGAGAUGGAUUUUGUGGCUGCAAUUGUGGCACUGGAACUCUAACUGCAAUUGUGGCGGUGGUUGCUACAAUAGCACGGAGGGCAAGGAUGAGAAAGGUCUUCAUGGUGGAUUUGUAUUGAGCACUGCUUGCUUGGCUUAAAUGAUGCGCUCUACUUAUGAGAAUGAUGGAUGAGGAAGGAUGAUCAUCAUGCUACGGGCCUAUUUAUAGCUGCCAUGGAAUGAUCUCUUUCACAAUUGGCAUUUGCUUGUGUGGAAGUGCUUGGAUGCUUCUCAAAAUCAUAAUUUGGUAUGUUGUGUUCGGUGGCACUACUUACAAGUGUAUUCUUGAACUGGUCAUUAAAGUUCCUUGUUGUUG
This 1634-nucleotide long non-coding RNA is filed under the name Triticum aestivum (bread wheat). RNAcentral's name for it is "long non-coding RNA (TAES_LNC019326)". The record is from RNAcentral. Lineage: Eukaryota; Viridiplantae; Streptophyta; Magnoliopsida; Poales; Poaceae.